RNAcentral lists this ribosomal RNA (2933 nucleotides) under Escherichia coli. RNAcentral's name for it is "23S ribosomal RNA". It matches the Rfam family "Bacterial large subunit ribosomal RNA". Lineage: Bacteria; Pseudomonadati; Pseudomonadota; Gammaproteobacteria; Enterobacterales; Enterobacteriaceae. The record is from RNAcentral.
GGGUUGUGAGGUUAAGCGACUAAGCGUACACGGUGGAUGCCCUGGCAGUCAGAGGCGAUGAAGGACGUGCUAAUCUGCGAUAAGCGUCGGUAAGGUGAUAUGAACCGUUAUAACCGGCGAUUUCCGAAUGGGGAAACCCAGUGUGAUUCGUCACACUAUCAUUAACUGAAUCCAUAGGUUAAUGAGGCGAACCGGGGGAACUGAAACAUCUAAGUACCCCGAGGAAAAGAAAUCAACCGAGAUUCCCCCAGUAGCGGCGAGCGAACGGGGAGCAGCCCAGAGCCUGAAUCAGUGUGUGUGUUAGUGGAAGCGUCUGGAAAGGCGCGCGAUACAGGGUGACAGCCCCGUACACAAAAAUGCACAUGCUGUGAGCUCGAUGAGUAGGGCGGGACACGUGGUAUCCUGUCUGAAUAUGGGGGGACCAUCCUCCAAGGCUAAAUACUCCUGACUGACCGAUAGUGAACCAGUACCGUGAGGGAAAGGCGAAAAGAACCCCGGCGAGGGGAGUGAAAAAGAACCUGAAACCGUGUACGUACAAGCAGUGGGAGCACAGAGCAAUCUGUGUGACUGCGUACCUUUUGUAUAAUGGGUCAGCGACUUAUAUUCUGUAGCAAGGUUAACCGAAUAGGGGAGCCGAAGGGAAACCGAGUCUUAACUGGGCGUUAAGUUGCAGGGUAUAGACCCGAAACCCGGUGAUCUAGCCAUGGGCAGGUUGAAGGUUGGGUAACACUAACUGGAGGACCGAACCGACUAAUGUUGAAAAAUUAGCGGAUGACUUGUGGCUGGGGGUGAAAGGCCAAUCAAACCGGGAGAUAGCUGGUUCUCCCCGAAAGCUAUUUAGGUAGCGCCUCGUGAAUUCAUCUCCGGGGGUAGAGCACUGUUUCGGCAAGGGGGUCAUCCCGACUUACCAACCCGAUGCAAACUGCGAAUACCGGAGAAUGUUAUCACGGGAGACACACGGCGGGUGCUAACGUCCGUCGUGAAGAGGGAAACAACCCAGACCGCCAGCUAAGGUCCCAAAGUCAUGGUUAAGUGGGAAACGAUGUGGGAAGGCCCAGACAGCCAGGAUGUUGGCUUAGAAGCAGCCAUCAUUUAAAGAAAGCGUAAUAGCUCACUGGUCGAGUCGGCCUGCGCGGAAGAUGUAACGGGGCUAAACCAUGCACCGAAGCUGCGGCAGCGACGCUGAUGCGUUGUUGGGUAGGGGAGCGUUCUGUAAGCCUGUGAAGGUGUGCUGUGAGGCAUGCUGGAGGUAUCAGAAGUGCGAAUGCUGACAUAAGUAACGAUAAAGCGGGUGAAAAGCCCGCUCGCCGGAAGACCAAGGGUUCCUGUCCAACGUUAAUCGGGGCAGGGUGAGUCGACCCCUAAGGCGAGGCCGAAAGGCGUAGUCGAUGGGAAACAGGUUAAUAUUCCUGUACUUGGUGUUACUGCGAAGGGGGGACGGAGAAGGCUAUGUUGGCCGGGCGACGGUUGUCCCGGUUUAAGCGUGUAGGCUGGUUUUCCAGGCAAAUCCGGAAAAUCAAGGCUGAGGCGUGAUGACGAGGCACUACGGUGCUGAAGCAACAAAUGCCCUGCUUCCAGGAAAAGCCUCUAAGCAUCAGGUAACAUCAAAUCGUACCCCAAACCGACACAGGUGGUCAGGUAGAGAAUACCAAGGCGCUUGAGAGAACUCGGGUGAAGGAACUAGGCAAAAUGGUGCCGUAACUUCGGGAGAAGGCACGCUGAUAUGUAGGUGAAGUCCCUCGCGGAUGGAGCUGAAAUCAGUCGAAGAUACCAGCUGGCUGCAACUGUUUAUUAAAAACACAGCACUGUGCAAACACGAAAGUGGACGUAUACGGUGUGACGCCUGCCCGGUGCCGGAAGGUUAAUUGAUGGGGUUAGCGCAAGCGAAGCUCUUGAUCGAAGCCCCGGUAAACGGCGGCCGUAACUAUAACGGUCCUAAGGUAGCGAAAUUCCUUGUCGGGUAAGUUCCGACCUGCACGAAUGGCGUAAUGAUGGCCAGGCUGUCUCCACCCGAGACUCAGUGAAAUUGAACUCGCUGUGAAGAUGCAGUGUACCCGCGGCAAGACGGAAAGACCCCGUGAACCUUUACUAUAGCUUGACACUGAACAUUGAGCCUUGAUGUGUAGGAUAGGUGGGAGGCUUUGAAGUGUGGACGCCAGUCUGCAUGGAGCCGACCUUGAAAUACCACCCUUUAAUGUUUGAUGUUCUAACGUUGACCCGUGAUCCGGGUUGCGGACAGUGUCUGGUGGGUAGUUUGACUGGGGCGGUCUCCUCCUAAAGAGUAACGGAGGAGCACGAAGGUUGGCUAAUCCUGGUCGGACAUCAGGAGGUUAGUGCAAUGGCAUAAGCCAGCUUGACUGCGAGCGUGACGGCGCGAGCAGGUGCGAAAGCAGGUCAUAGUGAUCCGGUGGUUCUGAAUGGAAGGGCCAUCGCUCAACGGAUAAAAGGUACUCCGGGGAUAACAGGCUGAUACCGCCCAAGAGUUCAUAUCGACGGCGGUGUUUGGCACCUCGAUGUCGGCUCAUCACAUCCUGGGGCUGAAGUAGGUCCCAAGGGUAUGGCUGUUCGCCAUUUAAAGUGGUACGCGAGCUGGGUUUAGAACGUCGUGAGACAGUUCGGUCCCUAUCUGCCGUGGGCGCUGGAGAACUGAGGGGGGCUGCUCCUAGUACGAGAGGACCGGAGUGGACGCAUCACUGGUGUUCGGGUUGUCAUGCCAAUGGCACUGCCCGGUAGCUAAAUGCGGAAGAGAUAAGUGCUGAAAGCAUCUAAGCACGAAACUUGCCCCGAGAUGAGUUCUCCCUGACUCCUUGAGAGUCCUGAAGGAACGUUGAAGACGACGACGUUGAUAGGCCGGGUGUGUAAGCGCAGCGAUGCGUUGAGCUAACCGGUACUAAUGAACCGUGAGGCUUAACCUUACAACGCCGAAGGUGUUU